GAUGAACGCUGGCGGCGUGCCUAAUACAUGCAAGUCGAACGCAUUGAGAGAAGUGCUUGCACUUUUCAAUUUGAGUGGCGAACGGGUGAGUAACACGUGGGCAACCUACCUGAUAGCGGGGGAUAACGAGUGGAAACAUUCGCUAAUACCGCAUAACAAUAGAGAAGGCAUCUUCUUUAUUUAAAAGGCGCUUUCAAGCGUCACUAUCAGAUGGGCCCGCGGUGCAUUAGUUAGUUGGUGGGGUGAAGGCCUACCAAGACGAUGAUGCAUAGCCGGGUUGAGAGACUGAUCGGCACGAUUGGGACUGAGACACGGCCCAAACUCCUACGGGAGGCUGCAGUAGGGAAUCUUCCACAAUGGACGAAAGUCUGAUGGAGCAACGCCGCGUGUGUGAUGAAGGCUUUCGGGUCGUAAAGCACUGUUGUAUGGGAAGAAAUGCUAGGCUAGGAAAUGAGCUUAGUUUGACGGUACCAUACCAGAAAGGGACGGCUAAAUACGUGCCAGCCGCCGCGGUAA
RNAcentral lists this ribosomal RNA (516 nucleotides) under uncultured bacterium. RNAcentral describes it as "partial 16S ribosomal RNA". It matches the Rfam family "Bacterial small subunit ribosomal RNA", at positions 28 to 523 of the family's 1533-position model. The record is from RNAcentral.